This 469-nucleotide ribosomal RNA is filed under the name uncultured organism. Its description in RNAcentral is "partial 16S ribosomal RNA". It matches the Rfam family "Bacterial small subunit ribosomal RNA", at positions 335 to 796 of the family's 1533-position model. The record is from RNAcentral.
ACUCCUGCGGGAGGCAGCAGUGGGGAAUUUUGGACAAUGGGCGAAAGCCUGAUCCAGCAAUGCCGCGUGAGUGAAGAAGGCCUUCGGGUUGUAAAGCUCUUUUGUCAGGGAAGAAACGGUGAAAGCUAAUAUCUUUUGCUAAUGACGGUACCUGAAGAAUAAGCACCGGCUAACUACGUGCCAGCAGCCGCGGUAAUACGUAGGGUGCAAGCGUUAAUCGGAAUUACUGGGCGUAAAGCGUGCGCAGGCGGUUUUGUAAGUCUGAUGUGAAAUCCCCGGGCUCAACCUGGGAAUUGCAUUGGAGACUGCAAGGCUAGAAUCUGGCAGAGGGGGGUAGAAUUCCACGUGUAGCAGUGAAAUGCGUAGAUAUGUGGAGGAACACCGAUGGCGAAGGCAGCCCCCUGGGUCAAGAUUGACGCUCAUGCACGAAAGCGUGGGGAGCAAACAGGAUUAGAAACCCGUGUAGUCC